GGAAUAUUGGACAAUGGGGGCAACCCUGAUCCAGCCAUGCCGCGUGUGUGAAGAAGGCCUUCGGGUUGUAAAGCACUUUAAGCAGGGAGGAAAGGGCAACGGUUAAUACCCGUUGCAGUUGACGUUACCUGCAGAAUAAGCACCGGCUAACUUCGUGCCAGCAGCCGCGGUAAUACGAAGGGUGCAAGCGUUAACCGGAAUUACUGGGCGUAAAGCGCGCGUAGGCGGUUUGGUCAGUUGGAUGUGAAAGCCCAGGGCUCAACCUUGGAAUUGCAUUCAAUACUGCCAGGCUAGAGUACGGGAGAGGGGGGUAGAAUUCCACGUGUAGCGGUGAAAUGCGUAGAGAUGUGGAGGAGUACCGGUGGCGAAGGCGGCCCCCUGGAUCGAUACUGACGCUGAGGUGCGAAAGCGUGGGGAGCA
RNAcentral lists this ribosomal RNA (420 nucleotides) under uncultured bacterium. Its description in RNAcentral is "bacterial SSU rRNA". It matches the Rfam family "Bacterial small subunit ribosomal RNA", at positions 358 to 770 of the family's 1533-position model. The record is from RNAcentral.